Molecule: long non-coding RNA, 1167 nt
Filed under: Equus asinus (donkey)
Lineage: Eukaryota; Metazoa; Chordata; Mammalia; Perissodactyla; Equidae
Description: lncRNA (ENSEASG00005029939.1)
Source: RNAcentral
GCUGGAUCAUAGGUAAGUAUAUGUAUAAUUUGAUGAGAAACUGCCUAUAUUAGAGUUUUCCAGAGAAAUGGAACCAAUGGGCUAUGUAUAUAGAGAGAGACGGAGAUUUAUUUUAAGGACUUAGGUCACUUGAUUAUGGAGCCUUAGUAAGUUCAAAAUGGGCCGCGUAGGCCAGCACGCUGGAGACCUAGGGAAGAGCUGCAAUUUGAGUGGGAAGGCAUUCGUCUGGCAGAGUUCCUUCUUGCUUGGGGGAGGUCAGUUUUUGUUCUAUUAAGGCCUUCAACUAGUUGGAUGAGGCUCAGCCACAUUAUGGAGGGUAAUCUGCUUUACUCCAAGUCCACUGAUUUAAGUGUUAAUCUCAUUCAAAAAACACCACAGGACCAUCUAGAAUAAUGUCUGACCAAAUAUCUGGAUACUGUGGCCCAGCCCAUUUGACACAUAAAAUUAACCGUCACACUGCCAAACUAUUUUCCCAAGUGACUGAAACAUUUUGAUUUUCCACCACCAGUAUAUGAGAGUUCUGGUUGCUCUGCCUCCUUGUCAACACUUGGCAUUUCCAGUCUUUUUUAUUUUAGCCAUCCUAGUUGGGUUAUAGAGCUAAUUCAUUACAUUUCCCUAAUAACUGACUAAUGAGGUUGAGAGUCUUUUCAUGUGCUUAUUGGCCAAUCAUAUGUCAUGUUUAGUGAAUGGAUUGUCUUCUUAUUAUUGAGUUGUAAAAGUUGUUUAUAUAUUCUAGGUGCAAGUCCUUUAGCAUGUAUUUAUUUUGCAAGUAUUAUCUCCCAGUCUUUGACUUGUCUUACAGUCUUAACAGUGUCUUUCAAAGGAUAGAAGUUUUUAAUUUUACUGAAGCCCAAAUUAUCAAAUUUUUCCUUUAUACUUUGUGCUUUUGCUGUGUGCUGUUUAAGAAAUCUUCUGUUAGCCCAAGAUCACACAGAUUUUCUCCUGUUUUCUUCUAGAAGUUUUAUAAUUCUAGCUCUUACAUUUAGUCACCAACCUAUUUCAAGUUAACUUUUGUAUAUAGCAAGAAGUAAAUGUCAUUUCUUCUUUUCAUAUAUGACUAUCCAGUUGUUCCAGUACCAUUUUUUAGAAAGACUAUAUUUCCCCAUUGAAUUAUUGUAGCACUUUUGUCAAAAAUCAACUUGUCAUCUAUAGUGCCUCUAUUUCCGG